This 247-nucleotide long non-coding RNA is filed under the name Eutrema salsugineum. RNAcentral describes it as "long non-coding RNA (ESAL_LNC000945)". The record is from RNAcentral. Lineage: Eukaryota; Viridiplantae; Streptophyta; Magnoliopsida; Brassicales; Brassicaceae.
CAGGAACCAAGGAGAAGCAGGAAGAGGCCGCAAGAUAAGCCCCCGCGGUCGCAGGUGUUAUGACCGCGGGAAACACCCCUUUGACCGCGGUCGCGUCUUUCUGACCGCGGCCGAGCACUGGUUUGCCGCGGUCGCGUGGCUCCUGACCGCGGCAAAUGGUCGUUGAGAUCAAACCCGACCCCAAGCCACCCACUUCACCUCAUUCCACCUCACCAAUCCCCACUCCACCUCAUUCAUCACUUUCCAC